This 494-nucleotide ribosomal RNA is filed under the name uncultured bacterium. RNAcentral's name for it is "partial 16S ribosomal RNA". It matches the Rfam family "Bacterial small subunit ribosomal RNA", at positions 28 to 507 of the family's 1533-position model. The record is from RNAcentral.
GACGAACGCUGGCGGCGUGCUUAACACAUGCAAGUCGAACGGUGAAGCGCCUUCCUUUUUGGUGGGUGUGGAUGAGUGGCGAACGGGUGAGUAACACGUGAGUAACCUGCCCCCUUCUUCUGGAUAACCGCAUGAAAGUGUGGCUAAUACGGGAUAUUCUGGGUCUGUCGCAUGAUGGGUCUGGGAAAGAUAUUGUUUCGGUGGGGGAUGGGCUCGCGGCCUAUCAGCUUGUUGGUGGGGUGAUGGCCUACCAAGGCGGUGACGGGUAGCCGGCCUGAGAGGGUGGACGGUCACACUGGGACUGAGACACGGACCAGACUCCGACGGGAGGCAGCAGUGGGGAAUAUUGCACAAUGGGCGCAAGGCUGAUGCAGCGACGCCGCGUGAGGGAUGGAGGCCGGCGGGUUGUGAACCUCUGUCGCCAGUGAAGCAGGCCUGCCUAGUUUGUGGGUGGGUUGAUGGUAGCUGGAUAAGAAGCGCCGGCUAACUACGUG